GAAGGUGCACAGUUAUUCUGAACCAGAAGGACUAUGAAGAUAAGAUCAUGACACUCCUUAGCGACACGACCACAUACGAGCCGCUGAAGAGAGAUCCAGGAAGUGGGUACAAGAAGAAACUAAUAGAUUGCCUGAAAAGUUUAGAGCAGGACAAGGCUAUUAAUCGGAUUCUGUAUCAUAGACUUUAUCCAGAUGAGG
This is a long non-coding RNA of Austrofundulus limnaeus, 198 nucleotides long. RefSeq lists it as uncharacterized. The record is from RefSeq and is a predicted model, not a curated record. NCBI's taxonomy places the organism in Eukaryota, Metazoa, Chordata, Actinopteri, Cyprinodontiformes, Rivulidae. The transcript is spliced from 3 exons.